ACUGCUGCUAAUCUAUCGCCGCUGCUAAGCUAUCCCUCGCUGCUAAGCUAUCGCCGCUGCCAACCUAUCUAUUGCUGCAAGCUAUCCCUCGCUGCUAAGCUAUCGCUGCCAACCUCUCUAUUGCUGCAAGCUAUCCCUCGCUGCUAAGCUAUCGCUGCCAACCUAUCUAUCGCUGCCAACCUAUCUAUCGCUGCCAACCUAUCUAUCGCUGCCAAUUUAUCUACCACUGCCAAUCUAUCUAUUGCUGCUAAUCUAUCGCUGCUGCCAAUCUAUCCCUCACUGCUAAGCUAUCCCUCGCUGCUAAGCUAUCACUGCCAAUCUAUCGCUGCUAAUCUAUCGCUGCCAACCUAUCUACCGCGGCGAAUCUAUCUAUCGCUGCUAAUCUAUCGCUGCUGCCAAUCUAUCUUUCGCUGCUAAUCUAUCGCCGCUACCAAUCUAUCCCUCGCUGCUAAGCUAUCCCUCGCUGCUAAGCUAUCCCUCACUGCUAAGCUAUCUCUCGCUGCUAAGCUAUCCCUCACUACUAAGCUAUCUAUCACUGCUAAUCUAUCGCUGCCAACCUAUCUAUCACUGCCAAUCUAUCUAUCGCUGCUAAUCUAUCACUGCUAAUCUAUCGCUGCUAAUCUAUCGCUGCCAACCUAUCUACCGCGGCGAAUCUAUCUAUCACUAUCAUUACUAGUUCAAAAUAGAACUAGAGCAUAAAUACACUAAACUUCUUUUGAUAGAUAAUGAUUUUUGGUAAUGCUCAUAGCAUUAUAUCAUCUAUAUAGGGUAAAUCAUGGUCCCAUUUGGUCCCAUUUUAACAAAAUGGGACCAAAUGGGACCAGAAUCAGUAAUUUAUAAGAAGAACAUGACCUGGGACU
Molecule: small RNA, 860 nt
Filed under: Histoplasma ohiense
Lineage: Eukaryota; Fungi; Ascomycota; Eurotiomycetes; Onygenales; Ajellomycetaceae
Description: hypothetical lncRNA
Source: RNAcentral